UUCCUAGUGGCCAAAUGGCAAGGCGUCUGACUACGAAUCAGAAGAUUGCAGGUUCGAGUCCUGUCUGGGAAG
This 72-nucleotide transfer RNA is filed under the name Diutina rugosa. Its description in RNAcentral is "Candida rugosa tRNA". It matches the Rfam family "tRNA". From Rfam's summary of the family: Transfer RNA (tRNA) molecules are approximately 80 nucleotides in length. Their secondary structure includes four short double-helical elements and three loops (D, anti-codon, and T loops). Further hydrogen bonds mediate the characteristic L-shaped molecular structure. tRNAs have two regions of fundamental functional importance: the anti-codon, which is responsible for specific mRNA codon recognition, and the 3' end, to which the tRNAs corresponding amino acid is attached (by aminoacyl-tRNA synthetases). tRNAs cope with the degeneracy of the genetic code in two manners: having more than one tRNA (with a specific anti-codon) for a particular amino acid; and 'wobble' base-pairing, i.e. permitting non-standard base-pairing at the 3rd anti-codon position. Lineage: Eukaryota; Fungi; Ascomycota; Pichiomycetes; Serinales; Debaryomycetaceae. The record is from Rfam by way of RNAcentral. RNAcentral also lists the same sequence under 1 other name.